GAUGAACGCUGGCGGCGUGCCUAAUACAUGCAAGUCGAGCGAACGGACGAGAAGCUUGCUUCUCUGAUGUUAGCGGCGGACGGGUGAGUAACACGUGGAUAACCUACCUAUAAGACUGGGAUAACUUCGGGAAACCGUAGCUAAUACCGGAUAAUAUUUUGAACCGCAUGGUUCAAAAGUGAAAGACGGUCUUGCUGUCACUUAUAGAUGGAUCCGCGCUGCAUUAGCUAGUUGGUAAGUUAACGGCUUACCAAGGCAACGAUGCAUAGCCGACCUGGGAGGGUGAUCGGCCACACUGGAACUGAGACACGGUCCAGACUCCUACGGGAGGCAGCAGUAGGGAAUCUUCCGCAAUGGGCGAAAGCCUGACGGAGCAACGCCGCGUGAGUGAUGAAGGUCUUCGGAUCGUAAAACUCUGUUAUUAGGGAAGAACAUAUGUGUAAGUAACUGUGCACAUCUUGACGGUACCUAAUCAGAAAGCCACGGCUAACUACGUG
RNAcentral lists this ribosomal RNA (497 nucleotides) under uncultured bacterium. Its description in RNAcentral is "partial 16S ribosomal RNA". It matches the Rfam family "Bacterial small subunit ribosomal RNA", at positions 28 to 507 of the family's 1533-position model. The record is from RNAcentral.